This 459-nucleotide ribosomal RNA is filed under the name uncultured bacterium. Its description in RNAcentral is "partial 16S ribosomal RNA". It matches the Rfam family "Bacterial small subunit ribosomal RNA", at positions 338 to 795 of the family's 1533-position model. The record is from RNAcentral.
CCUACGGGUGGCAGCAGUGAGGAAUAUUGGUCAAUGGUCGGGAGACUGAACCAGCCAAGCCGCGUGAGGGAUGAAGGUACAGAGUAUCGUAAACCUCUUUUGUCAGGGAACAAAGGCGGGGACGCGUCCCCGGAUGAGUGUACCUGAAGAAAAAGCAUCGGCUAACUCCGUGCCAGCAGCCGCGGUAAUACGGAGGAUGCGAGCGUUAUCCGGAUUUAUUGGGUUUAAAGGGUGCGCAGGCGGUCUGUUAAGUCAGCGGUCAAACCCCGGGGCUCAACCCCGGCCCGCCGUUGAUACUGGCAGUCUAGAGUUGGAGAGAAGUAUGCGGAAUGCGCGGUGUAGCGGUGAAAUGCAUAGAGAUCGCGCAGAACUCCGAUUGCGAAGGCAGCAUGCCGGCUCCACACUGACGCUGAGGCACGAAAGCGUGGGUAUCGAACAGGAUUAGAUACCCUUGUAGUC